ACCUCCUGUAGAUAAACAAAUUUUACAAAACCUGAUACUAGACGCUCAGAAUAAUAAUAAUUAAAUACUAACAAAAAACAUAACCGAUCUCAUUUCAUUUCCUGGUUUGUCUGUCACUCACCUUGGACACGCCCCCAUUUUUUUUCAACCUGACAGACAAUUGGUUUCACCUGGUGUCUGCUCAGAUAUAUGAGGACUUCUCUACAUGCACACCUUUUCAGUUUGUUGAGCUGUGUUUGUAUAGUGUCCUCGAUUGUUUGUAGCAUUCCUUGUUCUGUCUCUGCUGGUUCUGAGCAUUUGGUCUUGCCUUGAACUUCCACAGUCCGCCCAUGUCGUCGCUGCUCUCGAAGCAGGUUGGCACCAUGCCCUCGUCCAGACAAGCCUUCACGCUGGCCAGACCGGAGGGGCCGGCCCCGAUCACCGCUACCGUGUGCACCAUGAUGGAGCUGCAACAUGGAACCACAUUUACCCCAGAGAUGUUUUAACAAAAUGAGAAGGAAAAUCAAUACAGCUCAUUCUUAUUUUGUUGUAUCACUGCCACAUCAGGAAACUGCCACACUUGAGAGUCAGAGUGGACUUUUUAAAAGUGAUUUCACCGAGUACCUAAACCUCGGAAUGAGUGACAUGAAAUCAGCCACACCUGUGCAGUCAUUGAUAUUAAGUAAUGUUUUCCAGGUUUUUAUGCUUGUGCAAAUAUUUGCUGUGUGGGUAUUAUUUCUUUCCUCAUACUUUGAUCCUGUACAUAACAUUUGAACUGUUCACAUCACCUGAUAUAAUAGUUUGUUGCUUGUAUUGUCAGUACAAAGCUGACAAAUGCUUCAUCAGACUGUACUAUUUACAAAGUCACCAUUCAUUCACGUAACAGGGUAAAUGUGAUAUCUGUGUACGUUAUUUUAAGUCAUAUGUCACACAACUGA
Long non-coding RNA from Betta splendens (Siamese fighting fish), 917 nucleotides. RefSeq lists it as uncharacterized. The transcript has 2 exons. NCBI's taxonomy places the organism in Eukaryota, Metazoa, Chordata, Actinopteri, Anabantiformes, Osphronemidae. The record is from RefSeq and is a predicted model, not a curated record.